GCAGCAAGAAACAAACAAUGAGGCGUUAUCUUAUUGUUGUGUUAUGCCAACGCUUCACUGUGAAUAUACUACUAUCUGCAAACUGUAAAGUGCAUUGUAAAAGCAGUCAUUCUUUGGCCUCUGAGCAAAUGAUGGAAAGUUAACAUAACUUACAGAAACAACCGAGUUGGCUCGUUUAGGGUUUUUUUUCGCACGCAGCAUUAGGAGACUGAUGAAGAGGAGUUUGACCACCACAACGUCUUCAUGGACAAAAGAAUGGACAUUGAUAUCAACCAGCUUGGCUGUAAAUGCUUUGGGAAACAACCUGGUUUUCUGCAGGAUGGUUUUCUGUGGAUGGAAAUGAAGGGAAUAAACUUCAGGUGACCAUCUUCAGUGAAUCUUCCUUCAGUCCUCCAGGAGUCUUAUAAAAACCAAAAUUCGACUACAGUUCAGACUAAAGGGCAUGCACACCAGGGGUGGUCAAAUAACACGCACUGGGAGUGGUGCAGAUUCAGUGUGGGACUGCCAAAGUGGAUCUCUGAGGCGGCUGAAAAAUCUUUGGAGCACUGUCAUUGCCUUCCACCAUGUUUUUACUGACAACCCAUGUUGCAUGUUGUACCUGCAUAGCUGUAUCUGGAAGACGAUUGCUUGCUUUGGUUAAUGCUGGAUAGUGUUUAACCCUUCAGCAGAGGAGUUUUUCCAAAGCAUGGUAAAACAUUGGGAUUUUGCUGUACCAUGAUUUAACAUGCGAUUGGUAACCUUUUCAUCUCUAUUCGGCAUUAUCAGAUUAGGGCUGCAUUCACAUUACCUGCUGACAUGGGCCAAAUCUGAUGUUUUCUCACACGUGUACACAAAGUAAAUCGGAUUUAUUUUUUUUCCCCCAAAUCAGAUCUGGGCCACUUUUUAGAUGCGCUCCUACUGUAGAUCCGAUUCAUAUCUGACCAUGUGACCACUGUCAACAGUCAGAUCGGCAUUCAUCUUUUUUUUUUUUUCUUAAAUAUCUCACUUGGUCCAUGAACAUAUCGCCCGUUAAUCAUCAUUCAGUGUUGGUUCAUUACAGACCUGUAAAAAUAAACAAGCAGGAGAGCAGGGUCAGUGGAGAGACAAGAAUGUUACGAACUUCGCCAUUUAUGUAGAAGCUUGUGAUCACACCAAGCAGGAAGGAGUAGGCCUAUAAAUAACCAAGCAGUGU
Molecule: long non-coding RNA, 1171 nt
Organism: Monopterus albus (swamp eel)
Lineage: Eukaryota; Metazoa; Chordata; Actinopteri; Synbranchiformes; Synbranchidae
Exons: 4
Source: RefSeq, a predicted model, not a curated record